RNAcentral lists this ribosomal RNA (468 nucleotides) under uncultured bacterium. RNAcentral describes it as "partial 16S ribosomal RNA". It matches the Rfam family "Bacterial small subunit ribosomal RNA", at positions 28 to 507 of the family's 1533-position model. The record is from RNAcentral.
GACGAACGCUGGCGGCGUGCUUAACACAUGCAAGUCGAACGGAAAGGCCCUGCUUUUGUGGGGUGCUCGAGUGGCGAACGGGUGAGUAACACGUGAGUAACCUGCCCUUGACUUUGGGAUAACUUCAGGAAACUGGGGCUAAUACCGGAUAGGAGCUCCUGCUGCAUGGUGGGGGUUGGAAAGUUUCGGCGGUUGGGGAUGGACUCGCGGCUUAUCAGCUUGUUGGUGGGGUAGUGGCUUACCAAGGCUUUGACGGGUAGCCGGCCUGAGAGGGCGACCGGCCACAUUGGGACGGAGAUACGGCCCAGACUCCUACGGGAGGCAGCAGUGGGGAAUAUUGCACAAUGGGCGGAAGCCUGAUGCAGCAACGCCGCGUGCGGGAUGACGGCCUUCGGGUUGUAAACCGCUUUCGCCUGUGACGAAGCGUGAGUGACGGUAAUGGGUAAAGAAGCACCGGCUAACUACGUG